GCAGAAGACGUAGCCAUAGCUGAUCAUUUAAGUUUAGUAUGUGAAAACCUUCAAGUUUAAAGUUAGGAGCGUCCAUUUAAAACUCUAAUCCACGAUUUUUGUAGAAGGGGGGGUGGAUAUUCCAGGUGGAUCGGUGAAAAGGGGAGAUUUUCGGAGGGAUUCCCAGUGGGCGAAGGGGGGCCCCCUGGACAAAAAGAUUGACCCUUCAUGUAUGAAAGGGGUGGGGAAGCAAACAGGGAUUUGAUUCCCUGGGUAGUUCCAUUCUGUAAACAAUAGUCAAUUUUGAAGGUUGUAGCCCUUGAGUUAUAGCUUUCGUAGCUACCGCGUUAAAUUGCCCGCCUGGGGAGUACGGCCCGCAAGGUUAAAACUCAAAUGAAUUGACGGGGGCCCGCACAAGCGGUGGAGCAUGUGGUUUAAUUUCGAUGCAACGCGAAAAACCUUACCUAUUCUUGACAUCCAAAGAAUAAAACAGAAAUGUUUUAGUGCCUUAGGGAACUUUGAGACAGGUGCUGCAUGGCUGUCGUCAGCUCGUGUUGUGAAAUGUUGGGUUAAGUCCCGCAACGAGCGCAACCCCUAUCCUUUGUUGCCAUCGAGUAAAGUCGGGAACUCAAAGGAGACUGCUGGUGAUGAACCGGAGGAAGGUGGGGACGACGUCAAGUCAUCAUGGCCCUUACGAAUAGGGCUACACACGUGCUACAAUGGCAUAUACAAAGAGAAGCGAUCUUGCAAAAGCUAGCAAAUCUCAUAAAGUAUGUCGUAGUUCGGAUUGGAGUCUGCAACUCGACUCCAUGAAGUCGGAAUCGCUAGUAAUCGUUGGUCAGAAUGCUACGGUGAAUACGUUCCCGGGCCUUGCCCUCGCCGCCCGUC
This 867-nucleotide ribosomal RNA is filed under the name uncultured bacterium. Its description in RNAcentral is "bacterial SSU rRNA". It matches the Rfam family "Bacterial small subunit ribosomal RNA", at positions 558 to 1398 of the family's 1533-position model. The record is from RNAcentral.